Flavobacteriaceae bacterium TMED265 is the source of this 64-nucleotide non-coding RNA. Lineage: Bacteria; Pseudomonadati; Bacteroidota; Flavobacteriia; Flavobacteriales; Flavobacteriaceae. The record is from Rfam.
UACCUUUGCGCUCUCAUUGAUAGUCAAUGAAAUACAUAAAAAUCAUUUAAAUAAUAUUAGCAUG